This 495-nucleotide ribosomal RNA is filed under the name uncultured bacterium. RNAcentral's name for it is "partial 16S ribosomal RNA". It matches the Rfam family "Bacterial small subunit ribosomal RNA", at positions 28 to 507 of the family's 1533-position model. The record is from RNAcentral.
GACGAACGCUGGCGGCGUGCCUAAUACAUGCAAGUUGAGCGCUGAAGGUUGGUACUUGUACCGACUGGAUGAGCAGCGAACGGGUGAGUAACGCGUGGGGAAUCUGCCUUUGAGCGGGGGACAACAUUUGGAAACGAAUGCUAAUACCGCAUAAAAACUUUAAACACGAGUUUUAAGUUUGAAAGAUGCAAUUGCAUCACUCAAAGAUGAUCCCGCGUUGUAUUAGCUAGUUGGUGAGGUAAAGGCUCACCAAGGCGAUGAUACAUAGCCGACCUGAGAGGGAUCGGCCACAUUGGGACUGAGACACGGCCCAAACUCCUACGGGAGGCAGCAGUAGGGAAUCUUCGGCAAUGGACGAAAGUCUGACCGAGCAACGCCGCGUGAGUGAAGAAGGUUUUCGGAUCGUAAAACUCUGUUGGUAGAGAAGAACGUUGGUGAGAGUGGAAAGCUCAUCAAGUGACGGUAACUACCCAGAAAGGGACGGCUAACUACGUG